CCUGUUUCCAAUUCCCAUUUUUAUUAAAGCUACUAACACAUUGACCUAGCAAGUACCAGUAUGCACUAAACAUUUACAGUGGGGUUUUCAGCAUUACUGAAAAGUAUGCAGGAUAAAUAGCUACUAUGGUAGCACAAAUGCAAUUGUUUCAAGACAGUGGAAAACAACAUUGCCACCUAUUGGACAUUCGUAGUAUUACAAAACUGCUAUUACACUAAGCUGUACUGUAGGUCUACUCGGGCUCAAACCCUGUCAUGAAUACAGGAAUUAAAAGCUUGGGGUCUGUCAUUGUACAACUCUAAAGGUACAUACAUCUAGAAGAGUGGUCUAGGACCUAGGACCUAAGAGAGCCCUAGGACCAUGCCCCAGGACUACCUGACCUGAUGACUCCUGGCUGUACCCCAUUCCAUCUGGUUGUACGGCUGCUCUGCCUGCAACUAUGGAACCCUGACCUUGUCCUGGACCUGCUAUUUCAACUCCCUCUGUCUCUAUUUCGCUCUCUCACCUGCUGUCUCGACCUCUGAAUGCUCAGCUAUGAAAAGCCAACUUUUACUCCUGACCUGUUGCACCCUCUAUAACCACUGGUACUAUUAUCUGACCAUCUAUGAAUGUUUGAACAUCUUGUAGAAUGAUCUGGCCUUAGUGGCCAUGUACUCUUUUACCUCCACCCGGCACAGCUAGAAGAGGACUGGCCACCUCUCAGAGCCUGGUUCCUCUCUAGAUUUCUUCCUAGCUUCUGUCUCUGCAUUGCUUGCUCUUUGGGGUUUUCAGCUGUGUAUUUGUAAAUCACUUUGUGACAAAUUUUGAUGUAAAAAGUGCAUUAUAAAAUACAUUUGAUAGAGUUCAUCUACGCAAUUUCUAGAAGUUAUCGUAAAACCUCACAGUCCAUCACUCACUGUGAGUCACCUAAUAAAAAUGGACAUUGCCGUCACACAGAGUGACAAGUACAGAUCGAUCCAAACAGGAGUUGAUUCUUUAUUGAAAGAGCUCUCGUUGGACACAGGUAAGAACAGUUGUCUCAGUGUUCUACGUGACAUCUCUCCAUGCUUCGCAAAUGGCACCCUAUUCCCUAUAUAAUGCACUACUAUCGACCUGCACUAUAUAUAGGGAGCCAUUUAGGACACGCCCUGCAGCUGAAACGAGGAAAGCUAGAAGCCACAGUUACAUUUUAAACCACAUGGAUCCAUGUUAAAUGUUCAGGUGGGCGUAUUUUGAUGUUGUACCCUUGUCACAACUUGAGGAAAUAGCUUGUAGGAAAGAAAUAAUAGCAUUUAAAAAGAGAAGUCAAAAGAGAAGUCAUUGCUAAAAAUGUGGAACCUCAACACAGGUCAUAGGUCUAAACCGGUCUGUUAUACAAAGCUGAAAUACAUAAAAACUGGUUUUUAUAAUGAAAUGUCAGUAAAAUACAAGUCCCCGGUUACAAUGCCACUUCUACUGCCCACUCAGAAAAUGUAAAACACUAUUUUAUGAACGAUGCACAGUUCAGUCACAAAGUCCUUCUUGUGAGACGUCCUGUUCUACUGAAAUAACACGACCAAACUAAAUCCAUAAAGCAUCUCAGUAUAGGAGUGCUGAUCUAGGAUCAGUUGACACAUCUUAUUCAUAUGAUUCAAAAAGGUAAAACUGAUCUCAGGUCAGCACUCCUACCUCCGACGCUUUACGGGCCUUGGCUAUGACCAUUGGUACUCUGCAUCGACUGCCCUGGGGAUUUACCUUUGCCUCUUUUCAAACCAUGAAAAUAGCUUAAUGACCUCGAGUUCAAACUCUUAGGGACAGUUAAGCCUAGUCCUGAAGAAUGUACAUUGAAAUAGCUUUUCAUUCCAGGAUUAGGCUUCCAGGAAAUUUCAGUUAAACUUCAAAAAGCAGUCUCUCUCUCUCUCUCACACACACACACACCUCUACCCCCAUCCCCCUUCUCUCGCCAUCCCCCUCCCCCCACUCUCCCUCCCUCUCACACAGAGAGUAAAGCAGGAGCCAGAAAACUAAGGAGCAGAAGUAGGGUUAAAAUAACAUCACCUGUCACGCAUCCCAAAUGGCUCCCUGUUCCCUAUAUAAUGCACUACUUUUGACCAGAGCUAUAUGGGUCUUGGUCAACAGUAGUGAACUAUAUAGGGGAUAGAGUGCCAUUUGUGACCAGGAUAUUGAAGAACCCCCAUAAUAAUUGUAGUUGUAAAGACGGCAUGCAUUGUGUCUGACUGACCUGACAGCACUAAACUAUUUCCAAUUAAUGUGGAAGAACAUCUCACACAGAGAUGAACACAAGAUACAAAUCUCACAUACAUUCCACUACCAGCUUUACAAAGGGGUGGAUAUUAGCUUUACAGCAGAGAUCAACAAAACAAGGUUAUUAACAUUUUACACCACAAUAUCUUUGUAUCAUGCUGGGGUUGUGAACGCAGCCCUGUUCUGGCCAAACAAGGGGCGUCUUCACAACUCCAAAACAGUUCAAUCGUUAAUGAUCCAUACUGAUCAACGUCCACCUCCAGGGAGGUUUAGUAAGCACCACAAUCUUUUCAUAAAGUGGAGUGAGACUUCCUCAAAACAAGGCAGGCAGCAAAUAGCAGUUCCCUUCCACCAGAGAUGAAAGCAACAACUGUACAACUCAACAUCUUGGUGUCGACCAAACAGAAACAUACGAAGGGGCCGAAGAGAUUUGAUCUUAGUUGCCUGUAGAAAAGCAAACUGCACUGCGCUCACUAAAGCAUUAUGAAGUUCAAGGGUGGGCGGAUACCAGGUCUGUCAAGGAAGACUUGGACGAAAACAAACAAUAUGCUUUCUGAGGUAAAUAAAAUAAUAAAAUAAAAAGUGGAAGAGGAGAAACAGAAAUAUACAGAUGGAAGAUAUACACUGAGUGGACAAAACAUUAAGAACUCCUGCUCUUUCC
Long non-coding RNA from Oncorhynchus tshawytscha (Chinook salmon), 2884 nucleotides. The record is from Ensembl. NCBI's taxonomy places the organism in Eukaryota, Metazoa, Chordata, Actinopteri, Salmoniformes, Salmonidae.